GGGGGAUGGUCAGAUACUUGGCUUUGCCCCCGGCACAUUGUGCACCCGUGGCUGUGCUGUUGGAUUUGUGCUCCCAGCAUGUGCAGCCCCCU
RNAcentral lists this microRNA precursor (92 nucleotides) under Canis lupus familiaris (dog). Its description in RNAcentral is "mir-8799 microRNA precursor family". It matches the Rfam family "mir-8799 microRNA precursor family". RNAcentral also lists the same sequence under 1 other name. The record is from Rfam by way of RNAcentral. Lineage: Eukaryota; Metazoa; Chordata; Mammalia; Carnivora; Canidae.